Non-coding RNA from Saimiri boliviensis boliviensis (Bolivian squirrel monkey), 161 nucleotides. NCBI's taxonomy places the organism in Eukaryota, Metazoa, Chordata, Mammalia, Primates, Cebidae. The record is from RefSeq and is a predicted model, not a curated record.
AAACUUACCUGGCAGAGGAGAUACUAUGAUCACAAAGGUGCUUUUCCCAGGACAAGGCUCAUUCGUUGCUGUAUUGGUCUGUUUUCUUUUUUCUUUUUUCUUUUUUUAGACGGAGUUUCGCUCUUGUUACCCAGGCUGGAGUGCAAUGGCGCGAUCUCGGC